This 1404-nucleotide ribosomal RNA is filed under the name Salmonella enterica. Its description in RNAcentral is "partial 23S ribosomal RNA". It matches the Rfam family "Bacterial large subunit ribosomal RNA", at positions 1416 to 2803 of the family's 2925-position model. The record is from RNAcentral. Lineage: Bacteria; Pseudomonadati; Pseudomonadota; Gammaproteobacteria; Enterobacterales; Enterobacteriaceae.
CGAUGGGAAACGGGUUAAUAUUCCCGUACUUGGUGUUACUGCGAAGGGGGGACGGAGAAGGCUAUGUUGGCCGGGCGACGGUUGUCCCGGUUUAAGCGUGUAGGUGUGUGUUCCAGGUAAAUCCGGUUCACUUUAACACUGAGGCGUGACGACGAGGCACUACGGUGCUGAAGCAACAAAUGCCCUGCUUCCAGGAAAAGCCUCUAAGCAUCAGGUAACAUCAAAUCGUACCCCAAACCGACACAGGUGGUCAGGUAGAGAAUACCAAGGCGCUUGAGAGAACUCGGGUGAAGGAACUAGGCAAAAUGGUGCCGUAACUUCGGGAGAAGGCACGCUGACACGUAGGUGAAGUGAUUUACUCAUGGAGCUGAAGUCAGUCGAAGAUACCAGCUGGCUGCAACUGUUUAUUAAAAACACAGCACUGUGCAAACACGAAAGUGGACGUAUACGGUGUGACGCCUGCCCGGUGCCGGAAGGUUAAUUGAUGGGGUCAGCGCAAGCGAAGCUCCUGAUCGAAGCCCCGGUAAACGGCGGCCGUAACUAUAACGGUCCUAAGGUAGCGAAAUUCCUUGUCGGGUAAGUUCCGACCUGCACGAAUGGCGUAAUGAUGGCCAGGCUGUCUCCACCCGAGACUCAGUGAAAUUGAACUCGCUGUGAAGAUGCAGUGUACCCGCGGCAAGACGGAAAGACCCCGUGAACCUUUACUAUAGCUUGACACUGAACAUUGAGCCUUGAUGUGUAGGAUAGGUGGGAGGCUUUGAAGUGUGGACGCCAGUCUGCAUGGAGCCGACCUUGAAAUACCACCCUUUAAUGUUUGAUGUUCUAACGUGGACCCGUGAUCCGGGUUGCGGACAGUGUCUGGUGGGUAGUUUGACUGGGGCGGUCUCCUCCUAAAGAGUAACGGAGGAGCACGAAGGUUGGCUAAUCCUGGUCGGACAUCAGGAGGUUAGUGCAAUGGCAUAAGCCAGCUUGACUGCGAGCGUGACGGCGCGAGCAGGUGCGAAAGCAGGUCAUAGUGAUCCGGUGGUUCUGAAUGGAAGGGCCAUCGCUCAACGGAUAAAAGGUACUCCGGGGAUAACAGGCUGAUACCGCCCAAGAGUUCAUAUCGACGGCGGUGUUUGGCACCUCGAUGUCGGCUCAUCACAUCCUGGGGCUGAAGUAGGUCCCAAGGGUAUGGCUGUUCGCCAUUUAAAGUGGUACGCGAGCUGGGUUUAGAACGUCGUGAGACAGUUCGGUCCCUAUCUGCCGUGGGCGCUGGAGAACUGAGGGGGGCUGCUCCUAGUACGAGAGGACCGGAGUGGACGCAUCACUGGUGUUCGGGUUGUCAUGCCAAUGGCACUGCCCGGUAGCUAAAUGCGGAAGAGAUAAGUGCUGAAAGCAUCUAAGCACGAAACUUGCCCCGAG